RNAcentral lists this ribosomal RNA (426 nucleotides) under uncultured Actinomycetes bacterium. RNAcentral's name for it is "bacterial SSU rRNA". It matches the Rfam family "Bacterial small subunit ribosomal RNA", at positions 233 to 671 of the family's 1533-position model. Lineage: Bacteria; Bacillati; Actinomycetota; Actinomycetes. The record is from RNAcentral.
GCGGCCUAUCAGCUUGUUGGUGAGGUAAUGGCUCACCAAGGCAACGACGGGUAGCCGGCCUGAGAGGGCGACCGGCCACACUGGGACUGAGACACGGCCCAGACUCCUACGGGAGGCAGCAGUGGGGAAUAUUGGGCAAUGGACGCAAGUCUGACCCAGCGACGCCGCGUGCGGGAUGAAGGCCUUCGGGUUGUAAACCGCUUUCAGCAAGGAAGAAGCGAAAGUGACGGUACUUGCAGAAGAAGCACCGGCUAACUAUGUGCCAGCAGCCGCGGUAAUACAUAGGGUGCAAGCGUUGUCCGGAAUUAUUGGGCGUAAAGAGCUCGUAGGUGGUUCGUCACGUCGGAUGUGAAAAUCUGGGGCUUAACCCCAGACCUGCAUUCGAUACGGGCGAGCUAGAGUGUGGUAGGGGAGACUGGAAUUCCU